GUCCCAAUAGCUCAACGGUUUAGAGCACUGGUCUCGUAAACCAGGGGUCGUGGGUUCGAAUCUCACUUAGAGCA
RNAcentral lists this transfer RNA (74 nucleotides) under Octopus vulgaris (common octopus). It matches the Rfam family "tRNA". From Rfam's summary of the family: Transfer RNA (tRNA) molecules are approximately 80 nucleotides in length. Their secondary structure includes four short double-helical elements and three loops (D, anti-codon, and T loops). Further hydrogen bonds mediate the characteristic L-shaped molecular structure. tRNAs have two regions of fundamental functional importance: the anti-codon, which is responsible for specific mRNA codon recognition, and the 3' end, to which the tRNAs corresponding amino acid is attached (by aminoacyl-tRNA synthetases). tRNAs cope with the degeneracy of the genetic code in two manners: having more than one tRNA (with a specific anti-codon) for a particular amino acid; and 'wobble' base-pairing, i.e. permitting non-standard base-pairing at the 3rd anti-codon position. Lineage: Eukaryota; Metazoa; Mollusca; Cephalopoda; Octopoda; Octopodidae. The record is from Rfam by way of RNAcentral. RNAcentral also lists the same sequence under 1 other name.